UAUUGCCUCAUUGUAUAAAUUUAAGGCUUAAAAAAAAAUAAAAAAUUAAACAAUCGUUUUCGCAAACCUGUUUUUUCCUCAAUUUUACAGAAACAAUGCGGUGAAAGUGAGUGAGUGCGCGCUUAGAUCAAAUCUCAGUGGUAAGAAAGUGAAGAAGUAACUUUUGACAGGUGUUAACUGAUUUGUCCGCUAGACAGUUUUCGCCUUAGAUCCCGGAACAAACCAGAUCUUCUUCUCCUUUACACCAAAGCCCCAAGCGCAGACAGAUUAAGACCAUAUGAACCACGGCAAAUCCACCACGACCAGGGGCUCUAAGCCCUUUGAUUCAAACAGAUAUAUUCCUCUGCGGCGGAGGAUAUCCUCAUGUUUUUUGUUCUAUUUGCUUGCAGAUAUUGUGUGUGUCUAUAGCCUAACAGUGGAUAUAUAUCAUAAAAAUUUAAUUUAGGUAAAUAUACCCAAAUGCAUUAAGAUAAAUCUGAUUUUAUUUUUAUUUACUGUACAAAUCAUCACAACAAUCAUUAGCCUAAAAGUAAGCUAAAUGUAAUUGCAAUGUUUAUCAUAGUUUAAUUUCAUAAUUUAAGUGCACAUACAAACAAAUCAUUUAAAAUGGUGAAAGUGGCCGAAGAGUUGCAUUAUAGCUAUACUAAAUCUACAAAAUCUCCUUUACACAUAUUACGACCUGCAGGUGAACUGAUAAAUAGGCCUACAUCCGAUGUUGAUAAUUAAUAAAAAAAGCAAAAACUACACAAACAAAAAAAUAAGUGGUGGCUGAGGAACUUCACGCAGGAGUCAGUGAACUGGCUCACUUGUUAAAGUCUCUCUGAGCCGAAAGGGAUCGCUGUAGGCGCUGCUACAGAGUGUGGGCAUGAGGUCACGUGUUACUGCACUCUCAAGAGUAAAGAAUGAUGACGCUCAAACUCAGUGGACCAAUGCUAAGUUCAAAGCAAAACAAACUGAAGACAUGCGAAAUUGCCGACUGUGAUAGUGAAGACGUUUUUAUUAAUUCUGCACCACCCGAUUCGAUAAGCAGUCUGUUUAGCCAUGGAGGGGUGAAUGAAAGAAAGCAUGGAAAGAGAAAAGCAGCAGUCACAUUCUUCACGCGCUGGCAGAAAGAUCAUUCUCUUUUUAAGGGAAGCUCUCCUGCUGUCCCAUUGGUCAGCGUUGUGUCACGCCCAUGUCCAUCCAGACAGUUCAUUCCCGGGCUUGAGGUUCGAGCGAGUCGUUUAGAGGCCCCCGGUUGCAGGUCCUGAUGGAGAGAGAGAGGGAGUGGGAGGGAGACAGAGCUAGAGAGAGGACGAGGGAAAGCCCAUAAUGCUGUAAUGCCCAUUAGCGAGAUUUCACGCACUCUCUCUGAUCUGACUCGCUGACAGAAGCCUCUAAGAGACUAUAAUGAGAAUGUUUGGCAGGAUUCUGGAUGUGUGUGUGUGUGUGUGUGUGUGUAUGUGUGUGUGUGUUAUAUCAGUGUCUAGGUGAAUGCAGUUUUUAUGUGCACCACUCAUCAGCUGUGACAGAAAUUUGAUAUGAUUCAUGCACCCACACAUAUUCGCCUCACACAUUAUUAUUCUUUGACAUUUUUCUUCAUACAUUUUUCAAAAGUCAAAUACAUUAAGGCUGAUUUUAGGGAUGUAUACUGAAAUUAUGGCCAAAAUCAAUAAGCCGAAUUUUUUUUUUUGUGUUAUAUCUGAUAAUUGUUAAAUAUUAAAAUUCUGUACUAUUUUGCCCCCCAAAAUGUAAAUAAUUUAAUUAAAAUAAAUGCUACAUGGGAAUUUAGGCAUCACAACAAUGCAAUGUACACUAUGGAAAAAGUAUUUAUUAUAUUUAUUUUGAAAUUUGCUGAAGAUUACAUUUAACCGUGUUAUUAAAUUAUUAGUAUUUUUUAGCAUUAGAUGAUGACAAUGGUAAUCUAAAUAUUAAAAAAGCUGGAUAUGAGCAUGCACAAAUAAAUCUAAAUACAACUAUAAAAGGAAUAUAGUUGUAGACUAGACCAACCUAUUAUAUUCAUUAACAUUUUUAACAUGUUUAAACUCUGCGUCAGAUUGCUGUCAAAGCGACAUGCUUAUUAUGAAAUAUUAACAGUCUACUCCUUUAAUUCCUUAAGUGGCAAAUAGUGGCAAAAAUGACUAAAAACACCCAUCCGCUGCUUUCUCCCUCUCUCUCACAUGCUCUCUCAUUUUAUUUUACACAAAUUAGCUUUGGUCCUGGAGGGCAAAAUGACAAGAGGUUACUGGAAGACUAUGUGUUUAAUUAAUUGAAAAAUGCUCAAAUUGCUUUUACAGUUGUUAUUGGAGGUGAAAAAAUGGAAUCCAUGUUGCCAGUACUCAGGCAUAAUUAGCUCCUGGGGGAGUUGGAUAUUUAGCAUUAGCAAUGUUGCUGCACUUAGGACACAAAUUUCUAUUUUGAUAAUGAAGGGCCCGGGCUGUCGUUGAGGACAGCUGUAGUUUGAGAGGGUGGGGGUGUUGAGAGUUUGGAGGUUCUCGGAGAGAGACACCCUGUCUGCUCUCUCUCUCUCUCUCUCUCUCUCUCUCUCUCUCUCUCUCUCUCUCUCUCUGUGUGUGUGUGUAUGUGUGUCUGUGAAAUGGCAGCAAGGGCUCCCAUGGGUCACACAUUACCCAAAGUAUUUAAGUUUCCAAUUAAACUGAGAACCAGCUAACACUGCAACAAGCUUGGAAUGAGCCAAUGAUAUUCCACACUCAUCUCAUGGAAACUGUGGCCCAUAGAAGAGGAGGAAAGGAUGAAGGAUGGGGAUAACAUAGGAGAAAAUCCUUUGUUUAUUCAGACUUUAACUUUAUUUAGACUACUUUUUUUUUCAGUACAGAGAUGGUUGGGAGGGAGAGGAGGCAAGAGGGAGUGUGAAGAAAAAGAGAGAAGGGAGAAUACAAGACUUUAAUGAUCUGCUGUGGAGAAUCAGUGUGGAGUCCUUGGAGACUGCUGGGCUAGUUUGAAGCAGCAUGGUCUCAUUUGGUUUGGACUGAGUGUGGCAGUCCAACUGAGCUCUUAUACCAUGCUGUCUAAAUGCCUGCCUGCUACUGCCUCUGUGUGCGUGUGUGUGUGUGUGUGUGGAGACAUAUGUCAUGUGGAUUGCAUACAGGACGUGUGAAAGAAUAAGUCUGCUCUGUUAAGUUCCCUUGUUAAACCAUAAUAAUUUCCACCUUAGUCAAUUAAACAAUCCCCAAUGUGUUUACAGAAAGUACAGAAAGUGCUCAUACAGUCUUUGCUAUUUUCAUUCCUUUUUGUUAGGCUAAACUCACUUUUGUCAAAACAUUUUUUAUUUAUUUUUUAUUUUUUUCUACAUUUGGAUAAUUAGAAUCUACAAAAACAGCAAUUCAGUGUUUUGCAAAUAGCACUCCUCACACAAAGACUCUCUUUAAGUUGAUUUUAAUACAGGCGAAGCAAGAAGAAUUACACAAUACACUACUAAGCAUAAAUAAUAUGCAUAGCAAAUACAAUUUGGGGUCAAUUAUUUGGUUUUUAAACUUUUUUAACAAUUAUUUCUGUAUAAAAAAUAUUUUUAAUUCAAAGAAUACAUUUUUCACUUUGUCCGCUAUCUAGGAAUUAUUUUUUCACUGAUAUUGUUGUAAUGCAUUUGUGUCAGUAAUGUACCUGUGAUAACUUAAAAUGAUUCCUACGGAGUCUGUAGUUUCACUGUAAAAAGCUGGUCUGUAAUAUAGCUGUGCAGGUAAACCUCUCUCCCCUAGCCUCAAUAGGCACGCUGGCGUCACUGGGGUUGAGGUCUUUAACCUUCUCGUUAGAGCGCCCGACUCCCAUGCCGACUUGCUAGUUUGAGCCCUGACCGGUUAUGCAUAUGAUAUUUUUGUAGUCUGUGAGUAUUCUUGCUGACAGUAUUUGUGAAGAGAAACGGUUUCAUUCUGAAAAUAAUAAAUAUUAAUUAAAAAAAUGUUUCCACAAUAACUUUUAUAAAGGUGUUUUUUUUUUUUUUUUUCUUUAAAGAUGCCUAAACAGUGAAGACUACAAUGAAAUAGCUCUGUCCCAUCCUUGUGCAGGGAGUUAAAGGAAAAAUUCUGUCAACAUGUGCUUAGUUAUUGUAUUUAAUAAUAAUAUAGGAAGUAAAAUAUGGACUAAAUAUGAUAAUAAAACAGAUCACGAUUAUAGAAUUGAGAUGUCUAUAUGCCUAUAAGGGAUAUUUCACCCAGAAGUAAACAGUCAUUAUUUACUCCCCUUAUGCUGUUCCAAACCUAUAUGAUUUUCUUUCUUCUGUGGAACAUAAAAGAUAUCUUAUUUAUAUGAAUGUUGAUUGCCAAAGCAUUUUGGUGGCUAUUUUGUUCCAGACAGAUUGACAUCCAUUGUAUGGAAGAAAUAAAACAAACACUGAAAUUGUAUUUAAAAUAUCAACUUUUGUGUUCCACAGAAGAAAAAGUCAUAGAAUGACAUGAGGGUGAGUAAAUAAUGAAAAUCUUUACAAACUAUCCCUUUAAUGGAGAAAUAGUUAAAUGACUGUCCUUUUACAUCCUAGACACCAUGCCCAUUGUACAGAAAAUAUGCUAAUUGGGGCAAUGGGAGAAACUGAGACAAGGGGUUAUUUAAUUUCCCAGGGUGCAUUGGGCUUAGCAGAGAUGACAGAGAGGCUGAGGCAGAGUGUAACGGGAGCUUCACCGCAGCAGCCCUGCUCUGGGCUUCCAACCGACAGAGGAGCACCGUGAGAAAGAGAGACGGAGAGAGAGAGAGAAAGAGAAAGAGAAGGAAAGUAGACCUCUGAGCUGCGACUCUUGUUCUGUAAAGCGCACAUCAUUAAAUGAUAUAAUGUUACUGUCAGUUUGUCAUGCAAUAGUGUAAACGAAAAAACUUUACAAGACUGGUGCCAAAAAUUAAGAGAUUGAGAGCGAGAGACAAACAGGACCUUGCCAAUCAUUCAUCAUUGUCUCACGUCCUCUCUCUCCUCUCUUCACAGACUUGCUCUUUUUGUGUGCGCUACCCAGAAUUCUUUGUGACAUUUGUUGUGUGAAGAUUACUCACUGGCCCGUAGCCUAGCGUAGCACAACAGUGAUGGUUUUAAAGACACAGAGUUGGAGCUGUCCCAGCCUCGACACCUCACCCACAAACUGUGCCUCCUGUCAACCCCCACGGGCACCUAUUGUGGUGAAUCAGUGACCGUGCCAUUCCUUCUUUCUGCUCUUCACCAACAAAUGAUAAACUAAGUGGAAAAAAGACAGAAUGGAAUGAAGAAGAAAAGAAGAUCCAGAGCAUGUUGCCUUUUGGCUGGAGUCGUUCAAGACAAUGCAAGUGCUGGACCAUCAUUUUCAAAUGCACUGAACAAAUGCAAUAGACCAGAGUACUGACAGCUUCCAUCAAACAAACAAUUCAUUAUUGUAUUUCUUGCAACACCCUGGUUGAAUGAAAAUGGAUGUAAUGUUUUAAUAGAAGAGCAACAUAGUAUUAUAUAACAUAUUUUACGGCUCUAGAAUUAAUACAUAAAAUGUAUACAAUAAAUUAAAAUAAAUUUAUACAACAAUAAAUAUACAG
Molecule: long non-coding RNA, 5478 nt
Organism: Ctenopharyngodon idella (grass carp)
Lineage: Eukaryota; Metazoa; Chordata; Actinopteri; Cypriniformes; Xenocyprididae
Exons: 4
Source: RefSeq, a predicted model, not a curated record